Molecule: ribosomal RNA, 292 nt
Filed under: uncultured Thauera sp.
Lineage: Bacteria; Pseudomonadati; Pseudomonadota; Betaproteobacteria; Rhodocyclales; Zoogloeaceae
Description: partial 16S ribosomal RNA
Rfam family: Bacterial small subunit ribosomal RNA
Source: RNAcentral
CCCGCAACGAGCGCAACCCUUGUCACUAGUUGCCAUCAUUGGUUGGGCACUCUAGUGAGACUGCCGGUGACAAACCGGAGAAGGUGGGGAUGACGUCAAGUCCUCAUGGCCCUUAUGGGUAGGCUUCACACGUCAUACAAUGGUCGGUACAGAGGGUUGCCAAGCCGCGAGGUGGAGCCAAUCCCUUAAAGCCGAUCGUAGUCCGGAUCGUAGUCUGCAACUCGACUACGUGAAGUCGGGAUCGCUAGUAAUCGCAGAUCAGCAUGCUGCGGUGAAUACGUUCCCGGGUCUU